RNAcentral lists this ribosomal RNA (443 nucleotides) under uncultured bacterium. RNAcentral's name for it is "partial 16S ribosomal RNA". It matches the Rfam family "Bacterial small subunit ribosomal RNA", at positions 338 to 795 of the family's 1533-position model. The record is from RNAcentral.
CCUACGGGCGGCAGCAGUGGGGAAUAUUGGGCAAUGGGCGCAAGCCUGACCCAGCAACGCCGCGUGAAGGAAGAAGGCUUUCGGGUUGUAAACUUCUUUUCUCAGGGACGAAGAAAGUGACGGUACCUGAGGAAUAAGCCACGGCUAACUACGUGCCAGCAGCCGCGGUAAUACGUAGGUGGCAAGCGUUAUCCGGAUUGAUUGGGUGUAAAGGGUGUGUAGGCGGGAGCGCAAGUCAGAUGUGAAAACUCAGGGCUCAACCCUGAGCCUGCAGUUGAAACUGUGUUUCUUGAGUGCUGGAGAGGCAAUCGGAAUGCGGGGUGUAGCGGUGAAAUGCGUAGAUAUACGGAGGAACACCAGUGGCGAAGGCGGCUUACUGGACUGUAACUGACGUUGAGGCUCGAAAGCGUGGGGAGCAAACAGGAUUAGAUACCCUGGUAGUC